RNAcentral lists this ribosomal RNA (253 nucleotides) under uncultured bacterium. RNAcentral's name for it is "partial 16S ribosomal RNA". It matches the Rfam family "Bacterial small subunit ribosomal RNA", at positions 524 to 776 of the family's 1533-position model. The record is from RNAcentral.
UACAGAGGAGCCAAGCGUUGUCCGGAUUGACUGGGCGUAAAGCGCACGCAGGCGGGUGGGCGCGUGGGGUGUGAAAUCUGGCCGCUUAACGGCCAGGCGCCAUCCCAUACGGCGCGCCUGGAGCCUUGCAGAGGUCGGUGGAAUUGCCGGUGUAGUGGUGAAAUGCGUAGAGAUCGGGAGGAACACCCGUGGCGAAGGCGGCCAGCUGGGCCGGACCUGACGCUGAGGCGCGAAGGCGUGGGGAGCGAACGGG